RNAcentral lists this small nucleolar RNA (107 nucleotides) under Theobroma cacao (cacao). RNAcentral's name for it is "Plant small nucleolar RNA R71". It matches the Rfam family "Plant small nucleolar RNA R71". Rfam says of the family: R71 is a member of the C/D box family of snoRNAs containing the C (UGAUGA) and D (CUGA) box motifs. Multiple nearly identical copies of this snoRNA have been identified in Arabidopsis, and it is thought to function as a 2'-O-ribose methylation guide for 18S ribosomal RNA. Lineage: Eukaryota; Viridiplantae; Streptophyta; Magnoliopsida; Malvales; Malvaceae. The record is from Rfam by way of RNAcentral.
AAACCAUGAUAAGGACAACCUCGAAGUAAUUCUUUGCAUUUUUCCCAAGCCUGAUACAACAAUUCAGAAUCUUGCUGCAUGAACAAUGUGAUAUCAUUCCUCAUUUU